GUUGCUCAAUAAAAACAACUCAGCCGAUUACCAUUGAAGUUUUAUUAUUUGUUCUCUCUUACUUUGUAUACCAAUAGUAAAUAGCGCAGCAGUCCAAACAUAGAUUGAUCAGCGAUCACUCCUCAUCUUUUCUUCAGUCAACUUCGGUUGGGUUGCUAACAUGGAUUGAUUUUGAGUGGAUAAAACCGAAGAAUUUUGCUGAAUCGUGCUUAUAACAUAGUGCAUUGUGUAAGUUUGCUUAAUUUUAACCAACGUUUAUGGUUGAAUCGUGCCUCUAAUGUGGUGUAUUAUGUAAAUUUAGUUGAUUUCUGUUCGAAUUUUAGUAGACUAACGGAAGAUUUUGGUUAAAUUGUUCUUGUAACCUAUGCAUUAUUUUCAUUUGACUUGAAGUGGAUUAAACCAAAAAUUCAGGUUGAAUCAUGCUUCUACAAGUGUAUUAUGUAAGUUUUGCUUGAUUUGCAGAGGAUUUAAUCAAAGAUUCAUGUUGAAUCGUGCUUAUAACAUAGUGUAUUGUGUAAAUUUGCUUAAUUUUCUUCGAUUUCAAGUGAAAUUAACAGAAGAUUCUUGUUGAAUGGUGCUUUUAUGCAGCCUAUUAUGUAAAUUUGCUUAAUUUUCUUCGAUUUUAAGUGAAUUAACAGAAGAUUCUAGUUGAAUCGUGUUUUUUUGCAGUGUAUUAUGUAAUUUUGCUUAAUUUUGUUUUGAUUUGAAGUGGAUUAAAAAUUGUGCUUAUAACAUGGUGCAUAAUGUAAGUUUGCUUAAUUUUAAUUCGAUUUGAAGUGGUUUUACCGAAGAUUCGGGUUGAGUUUUACCAAUCACCUAGUGUAUUAUGUAAGCUUGAUUGAUUUCUAUUUUACCUUAACUGGAUUUAACCGAAAAUUGUGGUUGAACCGUGCUUAUGACAUAACGUAUCAUGUAAGUUUGCUUGAUUUUCGUUCAGUUUGAAAUGGAUUAAAGUGAAGAUGUAAGUUUGUUUGAUUUGAAGUUGAUUUAAUCGUGCUUAAUGUAGUGUAUUAUAUAAGUUUGCUUAGUUUUUGUUUGAUUUGAAGUGAAACUAAUCGAAGAUUCAGGUUGAAUUGUGCAGAUUUCGAGCUUUUGUGCAUAAAUAUAGAGAUUUAUGGAGAACAAUACCCUAUCGAAUCGCUUGAUUAUGAGUAAUCCUUCACUUGGUUUAAUGUAAAUUGAUUUGAUCCAGUAGUUAACCAUUCUGCAGUUCCCGCUUUAGUAAGGCCUUAUAGUCAUGGAUAAUAAUAUUAUUCUCCAAUAACUCUGGAAGCAUGGAUAGAUAUAAAAUGUCUACUUACAGCUUUUCUCGCUUCACUGGCUCGGUGUUCUUCACCAUUGUGCCGACAUUUCCUAUCUUCUUUACCAGGGACGCACCACAACCAUUUCACUCGACUGUUGCAUCAAAUAAUAAUUAGAUUGUUGCAUCAAUGAAUUAAUUAGACUUUCUCAAUACAAUCCCAUGUCGAUUAAGAUAACCAUGGGAAGUUAUUGUGAAAAAUGAUUAUGAAAGAUGAUGAAAUUAAAAAAAAAUAUCCUUUUCACCACAUUGCCGAACAAGGAAUCGAUUAUAGUUUCUCAGCUUAUUACAUGAUUAAUUUCAGACUCUGA
RNAcentral lists this long non-coding RNA (1611 nucleotides) under Helianthus annuus (common sunflower). Its description in RNAcentral is "hypothetical non coding rna". Lineage: Eukaryota; Viridiplantae; Streptophyta; Magnoliopsida; Asterales; Asteraceae. The record is from RNAcentral.